RNAcentral lists this non-coding RNA (21 nucleotides) under Caenorhabditis elegans. Lineage: Eukaryota; Metazoa; Nematoda; Chromadorea; Rhabditida; Rhabditidae. The record is from RNAcentral.
UAGUAUUCAAAAUGAAAACUG